CUACGGGUGGCACCAGUGGGGAAUAUUGCACAAUGGGCGCAAGCCUGAUACAGCCAUGCCGCGUGUAUGAAGAAGGCCUUCGGGUUGUAAAGUACUUUCAGCGGGGAGGAAGGGAGUAAAGUUAAUACCUUUGCUCAUUGACGUUACCCGCAGAAGAAGCACCGGCUAACUCCGUGCCAGCAGCCGCGGUAAUACGGAGGGUGCAAGCGUUAAUCGGAAUUACUGGGCGUAAAGCGCACGCGGGCGGUUUGUUAAGUCAGAUGUGAAAUCCCCGGGCUCAACCUGGGAACUGCAUCUGAUACUGGCAAGCUUGAGUCUCGUAGAGGGGGGUAGAAUUCCAGGUGUAGCGGUGAAAUGCGUAGAGAUCUGGAGGAAUACCGGUGGCGAAGGCGGCCCCCUGGACGAAGACUGACGCUCAGGUGCGAAAGCGUGGGGAGCAAACAGGAUUAGAUACCCCGGUAGUC
This 464-nucleotide ribosomal RNA is filed under the name uncultured bacterium. RNAcentral's name for it is "partial 16S ribosomal RNA". It matches the Rfam family "Bacterial small subunit ribosomal RNA", at positions 339 to 795 of the family's 1533-position model. The record is from RNAcentral.